AAAUAAGUUAUUAAGGGCAACUGGCGGAUGCCUUGGCUCUAAGAGGCGAUGAAGGACGUGAUAGGCUGCGAUAUGCCGUGGUUAGCUGCCAAGUAAGCUUUGACCCACGGAUUUCCGAAUGGGGAAACCCAACAGAGCAACCCUCUGUUAUCCUUUGGCUGAAUACAUAGGCCUUAGGAAGCGAACCCGGUGAAGUGAAACAUCUCAGUAGCCGGAGGAGUAGAAAUCAAACGAGAUUCCCAAAGUAGCGGCGAGCGAAAUGGGAUUAGCCCAAACCGUGUGCUUUCGAGCAUGCGGGGUUGUAGGACCACAAUAUGUGAUCUGUUUAGAUAGGGGAAGCGUCUGGGAAGGCGCGUCAUAGAGAGUGAAAGCCUCGUACCCGAAGUCGGCGACAGCACUAGUGGCACCUGAGUACCACGGGACACGUGAAACCCCGUGGGAAUCUGGGAGGACCAUCUUCCAAGGCUAAAUACUACUUAGAGACCGAUAGCGAACCAGUACCGUGAGGGAAAGGUGAAAAGAACCCCUGUUAGGGGAGUGAAAUAGAACCUGAAACCAGUUGCCUACAAGCUGUGGGAGCAGACUUGUUCUGUGACCACUUGCCUUUUGCAUAAUGGGCCAGUGAGUUAAUCUGUAAUGCAAGGUUAAGCAGUGAUGUGUAGCCGUAGCGAAAGCGAGUCUGAAUAGGGCGACAAGUAUUGCGGAUUAGACCCGAAACCAGGUGAUCUAUCCAUGGGCAGGCUGAAGCUUGAGUAAAAUCAAGUGGAGGGCCGAACCGUUGUAAGUUGAAAAUUACUCGGAUGACCUGUGGAUAGGGGUGAAAGGCCAAUCAAACUUGGUGAUAGCUGGUUCUCUCCGAAAUAUAUUGAGGUAUAGCCUCAGGAGUUUUCUUGCGGAGGUAGAGCACUGACAAGGCUAGGGGUCCCACCAGAUUACCAAACCUUAUCAAACUCCGAAUGCCGUAAGAUAUAUCCUGGGAGUCAGACUGCGGGUGCGAAGGUCCGUAGUCGAAAGGGAAACAGCCCAGACCGUCAGCUAAGGUCCCCAAAUCCAUACUCAGUGGAAAAGGUGGUGGAGUUGUAUAGACAGCCAGGAGGUUGGCUUAGAAGCAGCCAUCCUUUAAAGAAAGCGUAAUAGCUCACUGGUCUAACGAUUCUGCGCCGAAAAUGUAACGGGGCUAAGUAUGGUACCGAAGCUACGGGAUGCGUCUUUGACGCAUCGGUAGGAGAGCGUUCUCAGAUGGGAUGAAGGUGAAUCGGAAGGUUUGCUGGACUAAUGAGAAGUGAUUAUGCUGGCAUGAGUAACGAUAAAACAAGUGAGAAACUUGUUCGCCGUAAGACUAAGGUUUCCUGGGUAAAGCUAAUCUUCCCAGGGUUAGUCGGUCCCUAAGGCGAGGCCGAAAGGCGUAGUCGAUGGAAAACGGGUUAAUAUUCCCGUACCAGCAAAUGUGUGCGAUGGAGGGACGCAGUAGGAUAGCUCAGCCGGCUGUUGGAUAUGCCGGUGUAAGUGCGUAGGCUUAAGGAAUAGGCAAAUCCGUUCCUUUUUAAGGCCGAGACACGAUGCCGUAACUUUACGUUUGAAGUGAGUAAUUCCAGACUGCCUAGAAAAUCUUCUAAGUUUAGCAUUUGUUGACCGUACCGCAAACCAACACAGGUAGUCGGGUCGAGUAGACCAAGGCGCUUGAGAGAACUCUGGUUAAGGAACUCGGCAAAAUGAUCCCGUAAGUUAGCGAGAAGGGAUGCUCCAGACGGUGACUUGAUUCACUUAAUGAGCUGUUUGGAGCCGCAGAGAAUCGGGGGGGGGCGACUGUUUACUAAAAACAUAGGUCUCUGCUAAGUCGUAAGACGAUGUAUAGGGACUGACGCCUGCCCGGUGCUGGAAGGUUAAAAGGAGGUGUUAGACUUCGGUCGAAGCUCCGAAUUGAAGCCCCAGUAAACGGCGGCCGUAACUAUAACGGUCCUAAGGUAGCGAAAUUCCUUGUCGGGUAAGUUCCGACCUGCACGAAUGGCGUAACGAUCUCCCCACUGUCUCAACCAGAGACUCAGUGAAAUUGAAUUACCGGUGAAAAUGCCGGUUACCCGCGGUAAGACGGAAAGACCCUGUGCACCUUUACUAUAGCUUGACAUUGGGUUUAGGGCUAUCAUGUGUAGGAUAGGUGGGAGGCUUUGAAGUCGGCACGCCAGUGUCGGUGGAGCCAACCUUGAAAUACCACCCUUGAUAGUCUUGAAUUCUAAUCCAAUGCCGUUAUCCGGCUUGGAGACAGUGUCUGGUGGGUAGUUUGACUGGGGCGGUCGCCUCCCAAAAAGUAACGGAGGCUUGCAAAGGUUCCCUCAGGCUGAUUGGAAACCAGCCGUCGAGUGCAAAGGCAUAAGGGAGCUUGACUGUAAGACAGACAUGUCGAGCAGGAACGAAAGUUGGUCUUAGUGAUCCGGUGGUUCCGCAUGGAAGGGCCAUCGCUCAUAGGAUAAAAGGUACGCCGGGGAUAACAGGCUGAUCGCGCCCAAGAGUUCACAUCGACGGCGCGGUUUGGCACCUCGAUGUCGGCUCAUCACAUCCUGGGGCUGAAGCAGGUCCCAAGGGUUCGGCUGUUCGCCGAUUAAAGUGGUACGCGAGCUGGGUUUAAAACGUCGUGAGACAGUUUGGUCCCUAUCUACCGUGGGCGUAGGAUAAUUGAAGAGGGUCUGUCCCUAGUACGAGAGGACCGGGGUGGACGAACCUAUGGUGUUCCUGUUGUCGCGCCAGCGGCAUUGCAGGGUAGCUAAGUUCGGAAGGGAUAACCGCUGAAAGCAUCUAAGCGGGAAGCCUGCCUCAAGAUUAGUUAUCCCUAUGCUUUAGCAUCUAAAGAUUCCAGGUAGACCACCUGGUUGAUAGGCUGGAGGUGUAAGUGCAGUGAUGCAUUCAGCUGACCAGUACUAAUAAAUCGUGCGACUUAUUUUU
Molecule: ribosomal RNA, 2937 nt
Rfam family: Bacterial large subunit ribosomal RNA
Source: Rfam